This 501-nucleotide ribosomal RNA is filed under the name uncultured bacterium. RNAcentral's name for it is "partial 16S ribosomal RNA". It matches the Rfam family "Bacterial small subunit ribosomal RNA", at positions 30 to 523 of the family's 1533-position model. The record is from RNAcentral.
AUUGAACGCUGGCGGCAUGCUUUACACAUGCAAGUCGAACGGUAACAGGGUGCUUGCACCGCUGACGAGUGGCGAACGGGUGAGUAAUGCGUCGGAACGUGCCGAGUAGUGGGGGAUAACGCAGCGAAAGUUGUGCUAAUACCGCAUACGUACUGAGGUAGAAAGUGGGGGGACUUUCGGGCCUCACGCUAUUCGAGCGGCCGACGUCUGAUUAGCUAGUAGGUGAGGUGAAGGCUCACCUAGGCGACGAUCGGUGGCGGGUCUGAGAGGAUGAUCCACCACACUGGGACUGAGACACGGCCCAGACUCCUACGGGAGGCAGCAGUGGGGAAUUUUGGACAAUGGGCGAAAGCCUGAUCCAGCCAUGCCGCGUGUCUGAAGAAGGCCUUCGGGUUGUAAAGGACUUUUGUCAGGGAGGAAAUCCCUAGUGCUAAUAACACUGGGGGAUGACAGUACCUGAAGAAUAAGCACCGGCUAACUACGUGCCAGCAGCCGCGGUAA